UAACAAAGAGAAGCGAAGCAGUGAUGUGGAGCGAAACUCAAAAAAAUAAGUCUCAGUUCGGAUUGAAGGCUGAAAUUCGCCUUCAUGAAGCCGGAAUUGCUAGUAAUGGCAGGUCAGCAUACUGCCGUGAAUGCGUUCCCGGGUCUUGUACACACCGCCCGUCACACCAUGGAAGUUGGGGGUGCCCAAAGCCGGCAGGGAAAUAUGCUGUCUAAGGCAAAACCAAUGACUGGGGUGAAGUCGUAACAAGGUAGC
RNAcentral lists this ribosomal RNA (255 nucleotides) under uncultured bacterium. Its description in RNAcentral is "partial 16S ribosomal RNA". It matches the Rfam family "Bacterial small subunit ribosomal RNA", at positions 1237 to 1500 of the family's 1533-position model. The record is from RNAcentral.